GACGCUAUAGGUGAAAGUUGUAGUAUAGGUAUAAGCGAGGUGCUUAGAUCUAGAUUACUUGUGGAUAUCCUCUGUCUAGCUGGAUCGUGUGGUAGGCCGCGUAGGUGACAGUUACGUUGGUCCUCUGUAGUCCACCUCUCGUUAGGAGGAUGGGUAGGGUUUAUCGGCCUAAGGAUAAGCAUCCUUUGUGGUGUACUCUUAUCACGUGGUUCGUCCCAGACAUAGACAUACCCCUUUGAAGUAGAGAAACCAUAGUUAUCCUCUCUAUUCUGCUACCAUCGCCCAUAUACUAAAUUGCUCUACUCUCUAUUCCCAUAUUAUCAGCCAUUGUUAUCUUACCUUUAAUAUUGUUCUUAUUCAAUUCUACCAUCUUUCCUAUCUACACUUACCUAUCUAUCUUGGUUAAGUUAGAGCGUAGUUGGUUCUCCCGUUUCCCUGUGGAUACGAUAAAACCUUUAACCGGGUAAAAGCUUCAACGGUAUCCGUGCGCUUGCGGAUUAUCUGUGUGCGUAUAAAUACCAUAGUACACUCUAGUGCCAUGCUGGGGAUGACAACCUAGUAUUCAAGUGGUGUUAGCAAGUGUCAACAAGCAUUUUUGGCACCAUUGUCGAGGAAACGGUUGCUAAGUUGACUACGAACUAGCUUAAUCAUUUUCUAGAAAAAAAUAAAAAAAAUAUUUUCCUUUUAUCCUUUGCCUCAUCUCUACUAAUCUUUCUUCUUAUCUAAUCCUUGAUCUCUGGUCUAUCAUGAAUUCAAACAUGUCUAUCUAUGAAUUUCAUAGACCUACGGGCACACAUCUCGAACCACCAAAAUCUUCAAAGCCUAUCAUAGCAUCUAGUUUUGAGAUAGACCCCGAAUACAUAGAAUUUGUUCAAAAACAACCUUUCUCAGAAGAAGGUGAGGAAAACCCAUACACACACCUAAGAGAGUUUUGUCGAGUCUGUGACCUCCUUCGCAUUGAAGGCAUGUCUGAUGAGACCCUUAAAUGGAAGCUCUUUCCGUUCUCUUCAACGGGAAAAGCUAGACAUUGGUGCAAACUCAAAGUAGGGAGUGUUCAUGGAGAUUGGAAGGAGUUACAUAAUAGUUUUCUUUUAAAAUAUUUUCCAAUCUCCAAAGUGGCGGAACUUCGACGUGAGAUUAUUUCUUUUAGACAACUGGAAGAAGAAUCUCUUAGGAAAUCAUGGGAUCGCUUUAUUAACCUUACUCUCACUGGCCCAAAGCUUUCUAUUCUAGAAGAAGUUCUUCUAAUUCACUUUUUUGAGGGCCUUAGUGGGGAAAAUAAGCAAACCUUGAAUACAGCCUCUAGAGGAUCCUUCUAUCACCUACCUGCUAGUGAAGCUUGGAAUUUGAUUGAUUUAUUAAGUGGAAGGUCUCCUAGCUUUUAUAUCCCUGAGAAAGAGACAGAACCAGUUCCUAGACAAGAAGAAGAAGUUUCGAUAGCCAGAUCACAACCACUUCAAUUCCAAACUUUAGCUAUCGAUCCUAAACCAUCAAUACCCCAAAAUUUUCCAAGGGAGGAAGGAAUUCCGACCUUAAAUCUUUCAGAUGAUGAUGGUUUAGACUUCUGGUUCCAUAAGAGACCUUCAAGCAGGGAUAAUUCAAAUCCUCGCCAUAAUGGUUGUCUUAGAGAAUGUCCUGGUUCCUGUUAUGAAGAAGUCGAGGAUGACACAUCAAGUGAAGGAGAGCUAAGCCAUAUUGAAAAUUCUAACACCUCCCCUUUCCUGAUCACAAGUUCUAAAUGGCUAGAAUGUGUAGAAUGGAUGGAUAAGGAAGAAGCCUUAAUGAAUUCUGACUUUGGUUCAAUUUCAAAUGGUGAGUUCUUGACUCCCUUUGAAGAUGGGAUUCAUCCAACUAUAGAAGAGGACAUAAGUGAGACCAAUCCAAGAGAAACUCUGAACAUUCAGAUUGGAGACGAAGAUAACAUUAAUGAGCAUAGAAUUUAUUUCAUAGCCACUUUGUUUACUCCAUGCUCCUAUGCAACAUCUUCCCAAUCUAUUGGUCUCUCCAACAUCACCACAUUUGAGAUCUCCAACCCCCUCUUCCUUUCUAUUUAUAAAAACUUUAAAAGGGCGGUUGUCGAUGCAUAUGUCUAUAAUAAAUAUUACAGAUCUCGUUGAGUUGAUCUUGAUUUAGGUCAGCGUUGGAAGGGAAACCACUUCGCCGACAUAAAUUGAUGGUUUCCCAAGGACAAGCUUGGUGUCCUAAAAUAAGCACUGAUCAGAUCAUAACAAGAGUUUUUAAUUAUUUGCAACAUUACCUUGUGUAUUGAGCAUAUAAGGAUAAUUGUAAAAAUAUUCCUUCGGGUAUUCUUGUCACUAACCUUUCCAGGAUUGGAACAAGAAGAUCAGAUGAAUGACAAGCAAGUACAAGGUAUGUCCAACCAAUCAUCAUGCAACACUGAAUUAAAUUCAUCCAAACUUGAACUCUGCAAAAUUCAAGCUUGGGGGAGUACUUUACAUAAAAACAUCCUUUGCCAUGUUGCUAUGUUGGUUGUCCCUACCUUUAAGACAUGCUCAAUUUGUUAAAUACCAAUCACACUACUUCAUCUCCACUUGAGUAGAUCUCUAUAAAUGUUGUCAUGUUACCUUUGUCUAUUUACUAGUAAAUGUUAGUUUAGAAGUACUGCACAUACUUCUAUUGGUUUUUAAAUUAAGCAUGGUGCUUAGGUUAAACAACCUUCCUUAAUCUGAUUAGACAUGGAGUCUAGUUCGGUUAUUGAACUAAAAACUGCUUGUGUAGACAUUGGUAUAUUUUUGUCGGACUAACCCCUGCAGAAAAACUUUCAAUAUCGAUUUGGGAAGUCCUGAGAUAAACUCACAUCAGAGACGAAGAGAGUGACACAUGAAGUUUAACAAUUUGCACAAGGAGGACAUAACUCAUUCAUCAUAGAGAGAUGAUCCAUGGAGGGUGCCACAAACACGAUGCACAACCACUAAGAAAGAAAAGCUUCCACAAGGUGAUACUACACCAUCACUCUUCAAGCAAGGUAACAUCUUAAGGUACUUGACUAUCACUUUUAUAAGCUUCUCCUUGGUUCUGGCGUUCAUAUAAAUAAAAGAGACAAACAUGUAUGAUUUACAAGUCUAGAUUAACCAACCCAACUGAUUCAACAUGUUUAGUCCUUUAAUCCUUGUUCUUAGUACUACCUCCAUGAUCCCACACUCCUAAUCAUAUGAGCUAAAAUGUUACACAUUCAAUCUUUGAGAGAUAUAAAGAAAAAGACAUAUACAUAGAUAGAUUAUCUUUCCAUAAGGUUGAGCGAUUUGAUCUGACAAAUGUUAUAAGUGCUACACUCAUGAACUUUUCAUCCAUCAACUUUGUCUUGCUCACUAUGCUUAGGGUUAGAGAAGAACAAAUACACUUUAGGUUUUGUUGGUGUUUUCCACCAACAGGACCCAUGCACUUGAUCUCUGCCUUGUCUCUAUGAGCAGGUACACUUUGAGCAAAACACAGAGGAGUUUUAUAACUCUCAGACUCUACCAAGUGAAGGACCUGGAUCUACGAGCACAAACACACUGAGCAGGUUACUGCCAACGCCGCACUUCGAACUGCUGGGCAAACGAAGAACAUGGGUGACACCGUAUCAAGAGGUGCAGACGUCAAUGUCCGCACCUGAAUCAAAUGACGCACCUGAAGAAUGAACACGGUGAGAAGUCUUGUUAAGAAGACUUAAAACAUUGAACCCUCGCCGAAAGGUAAGAUCGGUAGUUAUCCAUAUUUAUCCUUUUUGCAUUUCCUUUUCCCUUUAGUUAUUUACUUUCCUUAAAUAGAUUAUUAGUUAAACAUGCUAUCUUGAAAAGAAAAUAAAAAUGUUAAAAAAUAAUAAGCCCCAUGUGAGUAUACGAGUGGCAUAAAACCCAUAAGUACCAUCACUGUGGUGGCAUAAAAAUAAAAUAAAUAUUUCUUUUCUGCUUUAUAAAAUAAAAAUAUAAAAACAGGGAGUAAUAUUUAUUGAGGAAGCUCAACAUGAUGAAGGCUAGAUAUUUAUGCUAACACUUAAUUAGUUCCACAAGCUUUAUUGUCUAUUUGAGCUCCACAGAAUUUAAGAAUCAAGAAGACUAGCAGAUGGAGGACAUUCUAAUCGCUGUCAGAAUGCUGCUGACUUUCAAAUACACCUCUACUACCUGCUAGCUACAUCAAAAGAAAUUACGUCAAAAUUCAGCUUGGGGGAGAACACCCCCAUUUAUCUCGCUAAGUAUUUCUACCUAUCUUUAUACUUAUAUUAUAUUAGAAUAUUAAAAUACAUAAACUAUGAAAAACCAAAUAAAGAUUUUGUGCUUAUAUAUAUAUAUCUUUUGCUUAGUGUGUUUAAUAAAUAAAGUGGCUAUGCUAAUCUGAAUCUUAAUAAUAAAACUCUAGCAUGGAUAUGAUGAAUAGUUGCUCUGCCUAAUUUGCAAAUUUGAAGUUCUCUCUCAAGUUUAGACAUAACUGUUAUAAUUUAAAGCUUGCUCUAGAUCUAAACUUGUGGGAUGAAAACUUGAUCUGAAAUCUAAGUUGUUAACGGAUAUGAUAUGGGAAGGUUGAGCUGCUGUUUAUCUGUUCCUAGAGAUGCUAGAAUUCUGGAGAAUUUUAUCUUUGAAAAAUCUUUAAAAUAUUGCAUGAUGAGUUCCUGUAUGAUGAGGGUUUAAAUUCCUACCACAGCCAUAUAUACAUGCUUGCUAGACUUUGAGCCACACAUUUACUAUUUACUGCUUAUGAGCAUCGAGUGUGGUCAAGCUGUGUAGACCCUUAGGAGCUUGUCAUGUGGUUAAAUCAAGAUUCACUUGCACGUUCACUCAUAUAUGCUACUUCUACUCCGGAAGUACCAUCCACAUAUAUCCAUCUCUAGAACCACCAAAAAUUAUUCUACUCCUAAUCCGGGAGAGAAUAGCAAAAAAUAUUUCUGUUUUCCCUUGCGAAAUAAAUGCUCAAGUUAUCUUGCUACUACCACUUGCUAUAUUAUCUCAUGAGAUGAGUGCUCUAAAAAAAGGAGAGAAAAAAAUAUACGAGGAAAUAAAAAGGGGCAAGUGCCCGGAACCUCGAAAGAAAGAAAAAGUGAGACGAGAGGUAAAAAUGGACAAGUGUCCGACAGUAGAAUUAGGGGUACAAGAUACCCACCUGAGAGGAAAGAAAAAGAAGAGCAUCUCAUUCUCCUCAUAAAGUUUCAAAAAUCAAGGAAGGUAUGUAUCUCCUCAAAAGAGCAAAAGUAGAAUUAGACUUCCACCAUUGUUAUCACCAUCAUCACCAUACACAAUUCAUUCGCCACACAUACACAUCUUGAUUUGACUUGACUUGUUUCUCAGGAUCCAUGGUUUGACUAUGCAAUAAAUGUCUUGUAAGUAUGUAUUAGCUGUCUCCCACCUAUGAGCUCUAGAUAUUAAAGGCUUAAUAGAGUAGGGUGAGAGAGAAGGCAAUGUCACUAUGCCUUAUACCACAAAUACCACAUAUCUUGAGAGAAGGCAUAUACCAUCACUGCCUUGGUAAGGAUCCAGAAAUACCACAAAAGAGAGAUUUAGAGAGUCAUACAAGGAAUCUCUAAGUUUUAUUUGAAAAUUUGCAAAAACUCCAGAGCUAUAGCUGAUCAAGAAUAAGAGACAUGGCACUUGGCUAGACUGUUCUAUCUUUUAACUACUCAAGACAGAAGUGACAGUUACAAGUCCCAUGGUGAAAGGUAAAGUAAGUAAGUUUUAGUUCUUGACAGUUUACUCUAACUCAGAGAUGAGAUCUUAUUUAAAAGCAUGUGUACCGUCAAAUUUUUAAGAUAUUGCAACAACUUCUGAUCCAUUGCUGAGUCUAUCCUUGCUCAGGGACGAGCAAGAGGUAAGCUUGGGGGAGUUUGUUGACGGUCCUUAAGUAUCAAAUUUAAUUAUCAAAUAAACAAAGAAAAGGAUCUAAAUGAAAUCAACAUCUAGACUUAGGGUUUUAUCUAACAGAAUUCCACGAGUUUUGGUGUUUGUCUAUUUCUGUAGGGGGUUAUCAGGAAAUACGGAAGAAAGACCCACACGUCGGGAUUACAUAGAGAUAUUAACGUGCCGCGCAAUUAUCUUACAUCUAGAAGACUCCAGAAGCCACGGGAAGGAAGCGGAGGCCGAACGGGGCCAGAGGCAAGGCGCCCGCCCUCUUGCCCUGGGCGCCCGCCCUGACUUGGAGCCCAAUCAGGACUCUUUCUCUCGCGAGAUCUCCACCGACCUAAAGGAUCAAGAAUAACCGUUCAAUCAAUGUCGGUUUGAUCCAACGGCCCAGGUUCACUUGAGGGGACUAUAUAACCAGACCCCCUGGCCCCUGGAGGAGGCACCCCUUGAUCAUUAUUCAUUAUUCAUAGACAGAGCAAAAGCUAGGGUUUAGAGAUGAGAGCUCUCCUCUCUUCUCUAAACUAGAGUAGAUCUAGAUAGUAGCAAGAUGGAGAGCGAAGGAGGAUUAGAGGAGAGGCCGGCCUGUCGGUUCUUCCUCCGGUUGUACUUCGUCAUGAUCAAGCUCUAAUCAAGCUUGCUCAUGGGAUGACUCUGGUAAUCUACUUCUAAUUCAUUAUGCAAUUACUAAUUAUGUAUGUUCUGGUUCACAACUCUUUUGAGUAUUCUAAUCUAUAGGACGCUAUAGGUGAGAGUUGUAGUAUAGGUAUAAGCGAGGUGCUUAGAUCUAGAUUACUUGUGGAUAUCCCCUGUCUAGCUGGAUCGUGUGGUAGGCCGCGUAGGUGACAGUUACGUUGGUCCUCUGUAGUCCACCUCUCGUUAGCAGGAUGGGUAGGGUUUAUCGGCCUAAGGAUAAGCAUCCUUUGUGGUGUACUCUUAUCACGUGGUUCGUCCCAGACAUAGACAUACCCUUUUGAAGUAGCGAAACCAUAGUUAUCCUCUCUAUUCUGCUACCAUCGCCCAUAUACUAAAUUGCUCUACUCUCUAUUCCCAUAUUAUCAGCCAUUGUUAUCUUACCUUUAAUAUUGUUCUUAUUCAAUUCUACCAUCUUUCCUAUUUACACUUACCUAUCUAUCUUGGUUAAGUUAGAGCGUAGUUGGUUCUCCCGUUUCCCUAUGGAUACGAUAAAACCUUUAGCCGGGUAAAAGCUUCAACGGUAUCCGUGCGCUUGCGGAUUAUCUGUGUGCGUAUAAAUACCAUAGUACACUCUAGUGCCAUGCUGGGGAUGACAACCUAGUAUUCAAGUGGUGUUAGCAAGUGUCAACAAGCAUUUUUGGCACCGUUGCCAGGGAAACGGUUGCUGAGUUGACUAAGAACUAGCUUAAUCAUUUUCUAGAAAAAAAUAAAAAAAAUAUUUUCCUUUUAUCCUUUGCCUCAUCUUUGCUAAUCUUUCUUCUUAUAUAAUCCUUGAUCUCUGGUCUAUCAUGAAUUCAAACAUGUCUAUCUAUAAAUUUCAUAGACCUACGGGCACACAUCUCGAACCACCAAAAUCUUCAAAGCCUAUCAUAGCAUCUAGUUUUGAGAUAGACCCCGAAUACAUAGAAUUUGUUCAAAAACAACCUUUCUCAGGAGAAGGUGAGGAAAACCCAUACACACACCUAAGAGAGUUUUAUCGAGUCUGUGACCUCCUUCGCAUUGAAGGCAUGUCUGAUGAGACCCUUAAAUGGAAGCUCUUUCCGUUCUCUUUAAUGGGAAAAGCUAGACAUUGAUACAAACUCAAAGUAGGGAGUGUUCAUGGAGAUUGGAAGGAGUUACAUAAUAGUUUUCUUUUAAAAUAUUUUCCAAUCUCCAAAGUGGCGGAACUUCAGCGUGAGAUUAUUUCUUUUAGAACCUUUAACUGGGUAAAAGCUUCAACGGUAUCCGUGCGCUUGCGGAUUAUCUGUGUGCGUAUAAAUACCAUAGUACACUCUAGUGCCA
Molecule: long non-coding RNA, 7805 nt
Filed under: Sorghum bicolor (sorghum)
Lineage: Eukaryota; Viridiplantae; Streptophyta; Magnoliopsida; Poales; Poaceae
Description: long non-coding RNA (SBIC_LNC005090)
Source: RNAcentral